GCAUUAAUGGGGUAGUGGUAACCUGGGUUAUUGCCAUCAACUUACCAGGGGUUCAAUUCCCCCUUAAUGGA
Stygiomarasmius scandens is the source of this 71-nucleotide non-coding RNA. NCBI's taxonomy places the organism in Eukaryota, Fungi, Basidiomycota, Agaricomycetes, Agaricales, Campanellaceae. The record is from the annotation of a GenBank genome assembly.